RNAcentral lists this long non-coding RNA (5198 nucleotides) under Homo sapiens (human). Lineage: Eukaryota; Metazoa; Chordata; Mammalia; Primates; Hominidae. The record is from RNAcentral.
ACUAACUUACCCCAUUUUCUAUAUCAUGUUUAUCAUCAUGAUAGCAUCUUGUGUUUUCCAAGUCAAGUUCCUGAAUCAAGCCACGAAACUCUACAAUACGACAACAGUGGUGCCAGUUAAUCAUAUUUUCUUUACAAUCAGUGCCAUCAUUGCAGGUAUCAUAUUUUAUCAGGAAUUCCUUGGUGCUCCUUUUCUCACUGUAUUUAUAUAUCUUUUUGGGUGUUUUCUGUCAUUCCUUGGUGUAUUUUUGGUCACAAGAAAUCGAGAAAAGGAACAUCUGCAACAGUCUUAUAUUGAUUUUGGAAAUAUUCCUGGUAAAAUCAUAUAUUCUUUAUAGUGGAAAAUUUGAUCCUUAUAAAUGAAUAGUUAUUGGUAUUAUUUUGGGUGGUAAGUUAAUAUAAAACAUAAUUCUUAUCCUAAAAAAUGUACAUUUAAUAAUGAAACCAAAGGUGCUAUUUUCAGUGUAAAUGUUUCUAAUAAUUUAUUGAAUGUCAGUUUUGCACAGAACUGGGGAUAUAAAAGAACUGACCAUGUUUCCUCGAUUUGGGUGAUUUGGAGGAUUUCCUUUUUGGGUUUCCUUAAAUUGGAAAAGGGUAGAGAAAAGAGUAGCAAUGACUACCAGCAGCAGACCCCUGCCACUUUGAGAGCCUUGAAGGAACAUCCAAGGACAAAGGGUAGGCAGCUAAGGAGCAUGUCUUGGGGGAAGCCUGAGGUGGCCUGUGCACUGUGGCUCAGGACAGUCACCAAAACAUGAGUAGUUUCUUCCCCCUUCCUCACCCCGCCUACCCAGAGAGCAAACACUCUUUCCCGUUCUCACUCUCACUGAGAAAUAACUCGCCUAGUCAUGUAGACAACAAAAGCCAAGUCCAGGACAAAGGAAACUGUCUGCUGUGUCACCUCUUCCCCUGUCCACCCGCCCUCAGCACUCUCCAGCCUUACUGGGGAUGUAGGGGGACCUAUAGGUUUCCAGGCAGGAGUGGAGACAUUCUCACAGCUUUCUCCACCAUUCUGUUAGCACCAUGCCUGUGAAGCAAAAACUAGGGAAGCCUCAUCCCUAAGACUGAGAAAUAUGGCCCCAUGCAAUGAAUUCUGUGUUCUCUUUGCCAUUCGAGCCAUCUUAUCUGCUGGGAGCAGUCAAUGAAAGAAUUGGCAUCAGUGGCAAAGGUGCUUGUGAUAGAAGCCUUAUAUGGUUAGAGGUUCUUUGAUAGGAAAUAAAGUUUGACUUUUUUUUUUUUUUUUGAGAUGGAGUCUUGCUCUGUUGCCCAGGCUGGAGUGCAGUGGCACAAUCUCAGCUUACUGCAGCCUCCCCCUCCCGGGUUCAAGUGAUUCUCGUGUCUCAGCCUCCCGAGUAGGCACCACCAUGCCCGGCUAAUUUUUGUAUUUUUAGCAGAGGUGGGUUUUCACCAUGUUGGCCAGGCUGGUCUCGAAUUCCUGACCUCAAAUGAUUCGCCUGCCUCGGCCUCCCAAUGUGCUGGGAUGAUAGGUGUGAGCCACUGCACCGAGCCUGAUUAUUUUUAACUCUAUUUUUUAUUUCACAAAGCUCAGUGCAUAGGCUCCGUAGUAGCUUUAGAAGUCACUAUCAAAGGCUAUUUUUCUAUGUUGUUAUAUGCAUUCGACGUGGAAAAGAAGACACAACCCCAGAGAGAAAGGCUUGGAGGUGAGUGAAUGCUUCAUGUGAAUCUCCAGACUAAACCCACCUGAUUUCCAUGGCCAGCAUGUAGAUCCUGUGGGGUGGGGAUAGUGGCUCUGACACAGACAAUUCGCUAUCACAUAGCUACAGACAUGGCGUUUCAAGGGCCUUUUCUUCCUUGAUAUUCAUCUCUUCUCUUUAGAGAGUGCCCACAUAGUAUAAAAGAGAGGUGAUAAAAUGUGGCCUAGAUUGAGGAGAAAUUAUUAAGACUUAUUUUUCUGUAAGACCUCAAAAGAUUCUCUAUGAUUAUUAUCUCCACAGGGAAACAAAUGUUGGACAAAAUACAACCAGAUUCACAUAGCUUAUCCUAUGGAACUUUGCCUGAUGGAAGUGACUCAACAAAGAGCCAAAGUGGAGAGAAGAAAGAGGUCUAAAUGCUGAGAAGGAUGGCUGUUGGCCUGUUAUUCGAUACCACCUUUUUAAAAAAUUGCACAUGUUCAAUUUGUGUCAGCAGCUCUUUUAUAAGCUAACAUGUGCUAGCAUUCAUUUCAGUCCUUUCCCCCACCUCAGCGUCUAUGGACAAUCGGGGACUUCCUAAGCUCUGACAGUCUAAUAUUUCCAUGGAAUGUGAUUUGGAGUGUUCCCCACACCCUGGACCUCUCCCUAGUGAUUAUCUAGCCAGCUACACCUUACUCAGAGCCCGGCUGCUCUAGCAGGAAUGUUGCACAGAAACAUACAUUUGCGGUUUGGCCACAGGUCGCAUAGGUGGCUUCUCCCACGGGUAGUGUCAGUUGCUUCACUUUAAAAAGUCACUUCAGCCCCACAACCUCACUCCCAAAAGAAAGGUUUGAGAGCGCUCAUUUUUUUUCUAAGACACCUUUUAUAAGCCUCCCUAUAAAAAUCUCACCUUUCAAGUACUAAGUUAGAAUUGCAAGUCAUCUUUUCUGAAAACUAAUGCUAUCAAAGUCCUCCUUUGAAAAUUAAGGGUCUCUUUAAAAUUAGAAUUUAUAAAUGGCAUUCAGUGAUAGUGUACACCAAAAUUAAAAGACCUUGACUGGUGGGCUUUUUACGUGUAAGGAAGAGGAAGUUUAAGAAGUAGGACUCUGCUUGUUUCAGUAGCCCAUGUACUAAAAUAGGAACAAUGCAGAGAUUAGCACAGCCCCUGCACAAGGCUGACACAUAAAUUCAUGAAGCGUUAGAGACAAAAAGUAGGACUAAUGUUUGUUUAUUUUUUAAUAAAAAUCUAGAAUGGUGAUGUUUUCUUCAGCUGUAUGAUUCUAUCAUACUUGAAACUGAAGAAAAAUUUAAUAUCCUAUGUCUUUUUUAUAGAUCUUAUAAUUUAUCAAGUGGAUUUAUAUGUCUUAUUCUCCAUAUAAGUCUAAAAAAUCACAUUUAAAUUCUUAGUGAUAGUUUCACUACACAUCAUUUCUUCCCAAAGUCAUUACCUCAAGCUUUGUAAAUUCUUCUAGAUAAAAGGAGAGUUGUGAUUAGAGAACUGAAUUUCAGCCAUUUAAACCUGUAGACAUAGAAAACAACCCAGUGGUCAAACCUGAGCUUCAAGAGGAAGCCCAAGUCCUCCUGUUUCCUGAAUGGCUUUUCCACUCCAAUUCAUCACAUAUCUGCUAAGACACAUUUGCAGGUAGAAUCCAUAAUAAUAUCUGUUAUUUAUGAUCUACCUAAUAUUUAAAGGAGAAGAAAAGAAGUAGCCUUCGUUGCAGCCAACAUCCAACAAUAAGUCCCACCCUUAAUGACAUUUCAAAGCCUUCAGAUCACUUCUGACAUGUCUGUCCAAUAUCAUUCCAAUCAAUAGUCUUGCAUUUAAAUAGGUUGUUUAACUCGGUGGUAUUGAGACUGUAACCUUAAUGGCUCAGGUCUUUUAGCUUUGUUCUUUGUCAUAAUCUGCACUCCUGGCCAGACUGACCAAACCUGGCUGCAAAGGAAAGAGAUUUGAAUUGAUCACCAAUGUAUGAAAAAUACAGAACCCAUGUCUGGCUCCUAAACUCCUGGUAAUAAUUCCCGCCAUCGUAGCAAGUGUCCCAUGCAUUCAGAUAAAGCAGUCAUAAUUUAUGGUGUAUUUUACCGAAUUGGUCCAGCAUAUUGGUCCUACAAGGCUCAGCCAAGAAAUGUAUCUGGUGCCUUAAACUACAGAUUUCUGGUGACUCUUAAAACUGGUUUACAAAGAUUGAGAAAACAAUUAGAUUGAAGAGUUUUGCUUCAAGUAGACCUGCAUUCAUAGCUAGAGUGCAUGAGAUUUUCAGCACUGUAGAAUUUCACACAGGCACAAGCAUAACACCAGUACUUUAGCAGCCGCCAACAGUUGCAUCUAUUAAACGUUUUGAGAAAUGACAUUGACUUAUGCACAUUUAAGCAAUCAACAAUGUUUUAGAAGUCCAGGUAACAUAUAAAAUAUAUUCAGACCUAGUUUUACUUUCCAUAUUGUUGCUCCAAAGUAAGGUAAAUAGGAGUUUUAGUUGUACUGGCCUGUAAGAUUUUUUAAAUUACACAGUGCAUGACAACAACUAAAGCCAACUCAGUCCUUCUCUUGGCAUUGUGAGUUGAGGACCUUUAGCCAACUGUUAGCUCAUCUGACUAUCUGUCUAGACCAAGGGUCGGCAAAGUUUUCAGUAAAGACCCACAGAGUACAUAUUUUGGAGUUUGUGUUGUCUGUACCAACAGACAGACAUGGUGUCUGUCCCAACUACCCAACUCUGCCAUUGUAGCACUAAAGCAGCCAUAGACAAGAUGUAAACAGAAGAGCAUGGCUGUGUUCCAGUAAAACUUUAUUUACAGGCCAGGCAUGGUGGCUCAUGCCUGUAAUCCCAGCACUCUGGGAGGCUGAGGCUGACAGAUCAUCUGAGGUUAGGAGUUUGGGACCAGCCUGGUCAACAUAGUGAAACCCCAUCUCUACUAAAAGUACAAAAAUUAGCCAGGCAUGACGGUGGGUGCCUGGAGUCCCAGCUACCUGGGAGGCUGAGGCAGGAGAAUCACUUGAACCCGGGAGGUGGAGGUUGCAGUGAGCCGAGAUCAUGCCAUUGCACUCCAGCCUGGGCGACAGAGUAAGACUGUCUCAAAAACAAACAAACAAACAAACAAACAAAAACAAGUGGCCAGUCUGUGAGCUAUAGUUCCCAACACCUGGUCUAGACUCUUCUGCCCUUGCUCUGCAGCUUCUUUCCUGUUGAUUGGGCAUUCAGGGAAGGAGUUUAAAAAGUGACACUCAUGGCUCAUGACAAAUGAGAUACUUUGGGAGUGUGGAAACAUGGCUUGAUAUUUGCCUUCAGAUAUUUUUGCUUAUAUAAGUUCUAAAUGGAAGUGAUAAGUUCAUUCUUAGGGUCCAAGUUGAAAGGCAGUGGUUCUUUUGUGAACACCACUAACUACAUUCGAAAAGCCUCUCCAAUUCCACAUUCCAAGUCUAUAACAGCUUUGGAAAUGAGUAACAAUGACCUCUCAUGUAGUAGAUUAAAGCAGAGGCCUUUGCCAUAUGAUUGUUUUUUGGCUUAAAUGUUUGCUUGCCCUGUAACUGUAAUACUUUGGUUACCAGAAUCACUUGAAAACAAAUACAAUAAAA